This 377-nucleotide transfer-messenger RNA is filed under the name Asterionellopsis glacialis. It matches the Rfam family "transfer-messenger RNA". From Rfam's summary of the family: Bacterial tmRNA, also known as 10Sa RNA or SsrA, is named for its dual tRNA and mRNA-like properties. Its role is to liberate the mRNA from a stalled ribosome. The record is from RNAcentral. Lineage: Eukaryota; Bacillariophyta; Plagiogrammaphyceae; Rhaphoneidales; Asterionellopsidaceae.
UGGAAUUGACGGGACGUGUAGCAGCGUCUGUGCAUGCAAGCGCGUAGGAUGAGCGCUUUGACUCCGAAUUCCUCAACAAUUAAUUGGCGAUUAUAACUACGCCAUGGCAGCCUAAUCCCCAAGUUUAGUAAGGAUUACUCAUCCCAUACCAUGUAUGGGACUGUCACAUCGCUCCGACCGUUUGUUUUGUGUGGUUGGAAUCCGCGGUGUCAUAAUACGAAACUGGUUGUGCUAGAGCUACGAUAGCGCAAUGAGAUUAAGUAGAUAAGGAAGCAAUAGGGUGUUUUACUCCGGCUGCUUUUCGAAAACCUAAGUAAAACUAAGCAUGUAGUACAUACGUUUAGUUGCCUUCACCGGACGGGGGUUCGAUUCCCCCC